Molecule: ribosomal RNA, 301 nt
Filed under: uncultured bacterium
Lineage: Bacteria
Description: partial 16S ribosomal RNA
Rfam family: Bacterial small subunit ribosomal RNA
Source: RNAcentral
CAGUAGCCGCGGGAAUACGAAGGGGGCUAGCGUUGCUCGGAAUGACUGGGCGUAAAGGGCGCGUAGGCGGUUUAUACAGUCAGAUGUGAAAUUCCUGGGCUCAACCUGGGGACUGCAUUUGAUACGUAUGGACUUGAGUGGAGAAGAGGGUUGUGGAAUUUCCAGUGUAGAGGUGAAAUUCGUAGAUAUUGGAAAGAACGCCGGUGGCGAAGGCGGCAACCUGGUCUUUAACUGACGCUGAGGCGCGAAAGCGUGGGGAGCAAACAGGAUUAGAUACCCGCGUAGUCCCUGUCUCUUAUAC